GGUUAAGUUACAAAGGGCGCACGGUGGAUGCCUUGGCACUAGGAGCCGAUGAAGGACGGAACUAAUACCGAUAUGCUUCGGGGAGCUAUAAGUAAGCUUUGAUCCGGAGAUUUCCGAAUGGGGGAACCCAGUACACAUCAGUGUAUUGCCUGCAAGUGAAUACAUAGCUUGUUGGCGGCAGACGCGGGGAACUGAAACAUCUCAGUACCCGCAGGAAGAGAAAGAAAACUCGAUUCCCAUAGUAGCGGCGAGCGAAGUGGGAAGAGCCCAAACCGAGAAGCUUGCUUCUCGGGGUUGUAGGACUGGACAUUGGAGUUACCAAAGUUCGACGUAGUCGAAGUCAGCUGGAAAGCUGCGCCAUAGAAGGUGAAAGCCCUGUAAACGAAACGGCGGACUCUCCGUCCAGGAUCCUGAGUACGGCGGAACACGUGAAAUUCCGUCGGAAUCCGGGAGGACCAUCUCCCAAGGCUAAAUACUCCCUAGUGACCGAUAGUGAACCAGUACCGUGAGGGAAAGGUGAAAAGCACCCCGGAAGGGGAGUGAAACAGUUCCUGAAACCGUGUGCCUACAAUUAGUCAAAGCCCGUUAACGGGUAAUGGCGUGCCUUUUGUAGAAUGAACCGGCGAGUUACGUUUGCCUGCGAGGUUAAGAUGAAAAGUCGGAGCCGGAGCGAAAGCGAGUCUGAACAGGGCGCUUCAGUAGGUAGAUGUAGACCCGAAACCAAGUGACCUACCCAUGACCAGGUUGAAGGUGUGGUGAAACACACUGGAGGACCGAACCCAUGUAUGUUGAAAAAUGCUGGGAUGAGUUGUGGGUAGCGGUGAAAUUCCAAACGAACUUGGAGAUAGCUGGUUCUCUCCGAAAUAGCUUUAGGGUUAGCCUCGGAGGAUGGAUCAUGGAGGUAGAGCACUGUUUGAACUAGGGGCCCGUCAAGGGUUACUGAAUUCAGAUAAACUCCGAAUACCAUUGAUCUUACUCCGGGAGUCAGACAGUGAGCGAUAAGGUCCAUUGUCGAAAGGGGAACAGCCCAGAUCACCAGUUAAGGUCCCUAAAUUUAUGCUAAGUGGAAAAGGAUGUGGCGUUGCACAGACAACUAGGAUGUUGGCUCAGAAGCAGCCACCAUUUAAAGAGUGCGUAAUAGCUCACUAGUCGAGUGGCACUGCGCCGAAAAUAUACCGGGGCUAAGCAUAAUACCGAAACUGUGGGUGCACCCGUCAGGGUGCGCGGUAGGAGAGCGUUCUAAGGGCGUUGAAGGUCGAUCGUGAGGACGGCUGGAGCGCUUAGAAGUGAGAAUGCCGGCAUGAGUAGCGAAAGAUCAGUGAGAAUCUGAUCCACCGUAUGACUAAGGUUUCCUGGGGAAGGCUCGUCCUCCCAGGGUUAGUCGGGAUCUAAGGCGAGGCCGCAAGGCGUAGUCGAUGACAAGCAGGUUGAGAUUCCUGCACUAGUUUAUUUUGUUUAAGCGAUGGAGGGACGCAGGAGGCUAAGGAAAGCGCACGGCUGGAAAAGUGCGUCCAAGCAGUAAGUCCGGUAGCGAGUGAAAUGCUUGCCGCCUUAAGGACAAGCUGUGAUGGGGAGCGAAAUUAAAGUAGCGAAGUUCCUGAUGUCACACUGCCAAGAAAAGCUUCUAGUGAGAAAUAAACUACCCGUACCGCAAACCGACACAGGUAGUCGAGGAGAGUAUCCUCAGGUGAGCGAGCGAACUCUCGUUAAGGAACUCGGCAAAAUGACCCCGUAACUUCGGAAGAAGGGGUGCUGACCGCAAGGUCAGCCGCAGUGAAUAGGCCCAAACAACUGUUUAUCAAAAACACAGGUCUCUGCUAAAUCGUAAGAUGAUGUAUAGGGGCUGACGCCUGCCCGGUGCUGGAAGGUUAAGAGGAUGAGUUAGCGCAAGCGAAGCCCAGAAUUGAAGCCCCAGUAAACGGCGGCCGUAACUAUAACGGUCCUAAGGUAGCGAAAUUCCUUGUCGGGUAAGUUCCGACCCGCACGAAAGGCGUAAUGAUUUGGGCACUGUCUCAACGAGAGACUCGGUGAAAUUAUAGUACCCGUGAAGAUGCGGGUUACCCGCGACAGGACGGAAAGACCCCAUGGAGCUUUACUGUAGCUUGAUAUUGAGUGUUGGUACCGCUUGUACAGGAUAGGUAGGAGCCGUAGAGAUCGGAACGCUAGUUUCGAUGGAGGCAUUGGUGGGAUACUACCCUAGCUGUAUGAACACUCUAACCCGCGCCACUGAUCGUGGCGGGAGACAGUGUCAGGUAGGCAGUUUGACUGGGGCGGUCGCCUCCUAAAAUGUAACGGAGGCGCCCAAAGGUUCCCUCAGAAUGGUUGGAAAUCAUUCGCAGAGUGUAAAGGUAGAAGG
Molecule: ribosomal RNA, 2356 nt
Filed under: Lacticaseibacillus rhamnosus
Lineage: Bacteria; Bacillati; Bacillota; Bacilli; Lactobacillales; Lactobacillaceae
Description: partial 23S ribosomal RNA
Rfam family: Bacterial large subunit ribosomal RNA
Source: RNAcentral